CAUAAAAUGUCUACCCUAAUCUAAGGUGGCAGCACAUCGCAUCUUCCCUAAGCAUGGACUAUCUUAUAUUUACCUAGUGAUCAUGAAGAACAGUUCUACGAACAUCAUACUUAAAAUCACAGAAAUUAAAUAUGAUUCAAAAGAAGAUAUCCAUUAAAAACAAUAAGUUCAUACAACCCCAAGAAUAUAAAAUCAAAUAUAAAACCCGUGUCCCUUUGUUAGGGCUGCAUCCAGCCCUAGAGAGAAGAUCAGCCUUUCAUGGAGUUGUGGGCGACAGCAGCAGCACAGCAGCGGGCUCCCGUCACGACCAGCUCUUCUUUCUUUCUUCCUCUAGCGACUUCCAUUGAAGAAACUCCCUCUUAGCACUUCAUUUUUUUAUAUAGGGGAAAUCAUUCCCAAAAUGACUAGUAGUCUUCUCUCUCUCCUUUUAUUCUUGUGGAACUCCCCAGAAGAGAUGCCCAUUGAUCAAAGAAGUCUCUCUUUAUAUAGGCUCGGUAGCUCCCCUGUUUCAUCAUAUGGAUAAGGUCUUCCGAGUGGGAAGAUAAAGAUGCAGAGGCUUGAGCUGAUCCGCACGUUGGGAAGGAGAUGAGCUGGGAGUCGAUUGCGUUGAAGAUGGGAUGAAGCUUGGGACUUGAGUUUAUCCCGUGGAUGAAGGGGAGAUGAGGAGGAUUCGGAAGAGGGAAUGACGAACCGUGAGCAGGGAUUCUUAUGUUUUAAUCUAGAUUUGGUUCUGGAUGAUUGUCAUAGAACAGGGGAGAGAUGCGGGGGAUUUGAUGAUGGUGGAGUUCGGGAGGAUGAAGCAGCUAGGAGCAGAGGAUGCUGUUCACGGUUGAAAAGAUAAUCUUUGUAAUCAAACGGGAAGAAGGCCGUGGACGUGGAGGGAAUUUGGACGCGAAACUUCACGCGAAACANN
This 913-nucleotide long non-coding RNA is filed under the name Phoenix dactylifera (date palm). RNAcentral's name for it is "long non-coding RNA (PDAC_LNC010977)". Lineage: Eukaryota; Viridiplantae; Streptophyta; Magnoliopsida; Arecales; Arecaceae. The record is from RNAcentral.